Molecule: ribosomal RNA, 1447 nt
Filed under: uncultured bacterium
Lineage: Bacteria
Description: bacterial SSU rRNA
Rfam family: Bacterial small subunit ribosomal RNA
Source: RNAcentral
GACGAACGCUGGAGGUGUGCUUAACACAUGCAAGUCGCACGAGAUUAGUUGAUAGCUUGCUAUUAAUUGAUCUAGUGGCGGACGGGUGAGAAACACGUAAGUAACCUACCCUUAAGUUGGGGAUAACACUGGGAAACUAGUGCUAAUACCGAAUAAGUUUGCCGAUUCGCAUGAAUUGGUAAAUAAAGGAGUAAUCCGCUUUUGGAUGGGCUUGCGCCUGAUUAGCUAGUUGGUGGGGUAAUGGCUUACCAAGGCAACGAUCAGUAGCUGGUCUGAGAGGAUGAACAGCCACACUGGGACUGAGAUACGGCCCAGACUCCCACGGGAGGCAGCAGUGGGGAAUUUUGCACAAUGGGGGAAACCCUGAUGCAGCGACACCUCGUGAGUGAUGAAGCCUUUAGGGGUGUAAAGCUCUGUCGGCAGGGAAGAUUAUGACGGUACCUGCAGAGGAAGCUCCGGCUAACUACGUGCCAGCAGCCGCGGUAAUACGUAGGGAGCAAGCGUUGUCCGGAUUUAUUGGGCGUAAAGCGUGCGUAGGUGGUUUUGUAAGUUAGGUGUUAAAUGCAUGGGCUCAACCCGUGUUCGCGCUUAAUACUGCAAGACUAGAGGAUAGGAGAGGAAAGUGGAACUAACGGUGUAGCGGUGAAAUGCGUAGAUAUUGUUAGGAACACCAGUGGCGAAGGCGACUUUCUGGACUAUAUCUGACACUGAGGUACGAAAGCGUGGGGAGCAAACAGGAUUAGAUACCCUGGUAGUCCACGCUGUAAACAAUGGUCACUAGGUGUGGGGGGUGUCGACCCCUUCCGUGCCGUAGCUAACGCGUUAAGUGACCCGCCUGGGAAGUACGAUCGCAAGAUUAAAACUCAAAGAAAUUGACGGGGGCCCGCACAAGCAGUGGAACAUGUGGUUUAAUUCGACGAUACCCGAAAAACCUUACCUGGGUUUGACAUCCAUAAAAUUUUAUAGAGAUAUGAAAGUGCCCGCAAGGGAAUUAUGAGACGGGUGCUGCAUGGCUGUCGUCAGCUCGUGUCGUGAGAUGUUGGGUUAAGUCCCGCAACGAGCGCAACCCUUAUUGUGUGUUACCAGCAUUUAAAGAUGGGGACUCACACGAGACUGCCCAUGGAAAGUGGGAGGAAGGUGGGGAUGACGUCAAGUCAUCAUGGCCUUUAUAUCCAGGGCUACACACAUGUUACAAUGGCGCGUACAAUGGGUUGCCAAACCGCAAGGCGGAGCUAAUCUCAAAAAGCGCGUCUCAGUUCGGAUUGUAGGCUGCAACUCGCCUACAUGAAGCCGGAAUUGCUAGUAAACGCAGAUCAGCAUGCUGCGUUGAAUACGUUCCCGGGCCUUGUACACACCGCCCGUCACACCAUGAAAGCUGGGAGUACCCAAAGCCAAUGAGCUAACCGUAAGGAGGCAGUUGUCUAAGGUAAAAUCAGUGAUUGGGGUG